RNAcentral lists this ribosomal RNA (334 nucleotides) under uncultured eukaryote. RNAcentral describes it as "partial 18S ribosomal RNA". It matches the Rfam family "Eukaryotic small subunit ribosomal RNA", at positions 1470 to 1796 of the family's 1831-position model. The record is from RNAcentral.
CCCUUAGAUGUUCUGGGCUGCACGCGCGCUACACUGAUGCACUCAACGAGUUUACGACCUUGCCCGAUAGGGUUGGGUAAUCUUUUUAAAAUGCAUCGUGAUGGGGAUAGAUUAUUGCAAUUAUUAAUCUUCAACGAGGAAUUCCUAGUAAGCGCGAGUCAUCAGCUCGCGCUGAUUACGUCCCUGCCCUUUGUACACACCGCCCGUCGCUACUACCGAUUGGAUGGUUUAGCGAGAACUUUGGACCGGAGCUCGGGUGGUCAGCAAUGGCCGCCCGAGACAUACUGGGAAAUCGCUCCAGCUUGAUCAUCUAGAGGAAGUAAAAGUCGUAACA